UAGUGAAUAACCAAAAUUAGUAACAAACAAAGUCGUAAAAUUUAUAAAAACAAAACAAAAUGACUAAAGAAAACAAAAUGACUAAAGAAAACAAAAUGAAUAAAGAAAAGAAAAAGAUUAAAGAAAAGAAAAAAAUUAAAAAAAACAAAAUAAUUGAUAAAAAUAAAAUAAAACGAAAAAAAAACGAAAUUUAUGGAAUAUGAUGAUGACGAAUCAAAAAGAAUCUUCUUAUAUGCAUAUGAACAGGAAUUAAAAAAUGAAACAAUAUGUUGGCGUAAAGCUGAAGAAUUAAAAAUAACAAAACAUAGCGCUAGUUCUAUGAGAGGACAUUACUUAAAUUCUAUAAAAAAUGAAACUUCUUUGUAUUUAGAAAUGUAUGCUGAAGAAGUAGCUAAAUUAUUUAUAAAAGUUAAAAACUGGACAAAAUUACAAAAAAGACAAACAAAAAAAUAUACUAAAUUAUCCAACUAGUGUUAUCAGACAAACAUCCAACAUAUCACUAGAUCGAAUAGCAAAAAAAAAAAAGUUGCCAUUUUAAUAAAUUUAAUUCAUUAGUAAUCAGUAAAGCAUUCUCUAUGCAAGCUAUUAAACAUAUAACAAAACAAAAAAACAAAACAGAUUAAAUUAGCUAACAAAAAAAGUAUAAUAACCGAGAAAGAUAAAGGAAAAAUUUUAAAAAAAGCAAAAACCAAAGUUGAAAUUGGAACCAAAAGUAGCGCCAAAAAUGAGGAAAAAAAAAAAAAAAAAAUAAAAAACAAAGAAAAAAAUAUAAAAAAAAAGAAGGAAAAGACAGCACCAAAAAAGAAAAAAAAGACAAUACCUCUAAAACAGACAAAGAGAAUAAAACCCCAGUAAAAAUAACCGAUGUAAAAAUUAAUAAAAAUGCCACGCAAGAGAAGAACAAAAAGAAGAAGAAAUCAAAACAAAUGUAAAUGGAAAUGGUAAAGAUAUGGAUACAGCUGUAACAGAUGCUACAUCUACUACAGCUACAACGACUGAUAUAAUAAGAGACAAUCGUAUAGACGAAUUUUUAAGAUUUGAUUCUCCUAUAAUUCGAUGUAGAAGUAGUAAUGAAUAUAUGUCGCCUAGAAAAAGGAAAUCAGAAAAUUUAUUGUAUAGUUAUAGAAGUAAAGACUUAGGUGAUAUUAUUAAAUCAUUUGAGUAUACACCAGAUUCUGGUGACGAAAAAGAAAAUGAAAAAAAAAAAGAAAAAGAGAAAAAAAAGAGGCGCAAUUAAGUCAUUGUUUGCAUAUUUUUAUCAAAAAAUAUUCAACUAAACGUUGAAUGUCACUCAUAAAUAUCUGUUUAUUUAUAUAAUCAUAUAUUCAUAUAAUCAUAAAUUCAUAUAUUCAUUUAUUCAUUCAUUCAUUCACUCACUUUUUUUUUUAUUCAUUCAUUUUUUUUUAUUUAUUCAUCUUUUUUUAUUCAUUUAUUUUUUUUUAUUUAUUAAUUUUUUUUAAUUGUGAAGGAAAACAAAAACAAAAAAAAAAAAAAAAAAUUAACAGUAGGAGAAACAGUAAAAUCGAUACAUGUAUAUAUAUAUAUAUAUGUUUAUAGUAAGCGAACUAAAAGGCGAAAAACGUAGCGCAAAUAGUUUUAUUCUUCUCUUUUACGUGUUACGCAAUAUCACGCUAUUUUUUUUUUUACUUUUUUUUUUUUUUUUACGUAUUAUAUCUUAUAUAUAUAUAUAUAUAUAUGUCGUUUUGCUCUUUUUAUUUUUUUUUAUUUUUUUUUUAAGCGAAAUAAUGCGACCAAGCGGUAGGCAUAAGUAACGAUUAAAAUAGACCCGAAAAAAAAAAUAAUAACUAAUAAUAUAUACAUACUUACAUACAAAAAAAAAAAUGAAUGUGUUAUGUCAAAAAACAAAAAGACAAAUAGGAGUAGUACCUUAAAGCAACAAGCAACUGUUUUAUACAACACUAGCUUUAAUUAUAUAUAUAUAUAUACAUAUAUGUAAGUGCAUUCUUUUUUGAAUUUUUAUAUUUUAAUCAUUUUUUUUUUUUUACUUAUGUGUUCUUAUCCUUUUUUUAUUUUUUUUUUUUUACACUAUUUUUUGAAUUAUAUUCUUUUUUUACAUUUCUUAGUGUCCUUUCCUUUCUUUUUGAGUGUCUUUUUCUACGUUUCUCAGUGUCUUUUUCUUCAUUCCUUUUUUUUUUUUUUUUUUUUUUCUUCGUUCGUACUUUUUAAAUCCACUAAAUCACAAAAUUUACAGUUUCCAAUUUUUAGCAAUUAAUAAAAUAUGUUGGCAUUGAUAUGUGUAUGUAUGU
This 2267-nucleotide long non-coding RNA is filed under the name Piliocolobus tephrosceles (Ugandan red Colobus). RNAcentral's name for it is "lncRNA (ENSPTEG00000011486.1)". The record is from RNAcentral. Lineage: Eukaryota; Metazoa; Chordata; Mammalia; Primates; Cercopithecidae.